This 513-nucleotide ribosomal RNA is filed under the name uncultured bacterium. Its description in RNAcentral is "bacterial SSU rRNA". It matches the Rfam family "Bacterial small subunit ribosomal RNA", at positions 11 to 504 of the family's 1533-position model. The record is from RNAcentral.
GUUUGAUCCUGGCUCAGAACGAACGCUGGCGGCGUGCCUAACACAUGCAAGUCGAACGUGAUCCGCCCUUCGGGGUGGUGAAAGUGGCGCACGGGUGAGUAACGCGUGGAUAAUCUGCCCGAGGAUUUGGGAUAACAUCUCGAAAGGGGUGCUAAUACCGAAUAAGCCCACGGGGUCUACGGAUCUUGCGGGAAAAGGGGGGACCUUCGGGCCUCCUGUCCUUGGAUGAGUCUGCGUACCAUUAGCUAGUUGGUGGGGUAAUGGCCUACCAAGGCGACGAUGGUUAGCUGGUCUGAGAGGAUGAUCAGCCACACUGGAACUGAGACACGGUCCAGACUCCUACGGGAGGCAGCAGUGGGGAAUUUUGCGCAAUGGGGGAAACCCUGACGCAGCAACGCCGCGUGGGUGAUGAAGGCCUUCGGGUCGUAAAGCUCUGUCUGGAGGGAAGAAAUGAUUGGGAGCUAAUACCUCUUGAUCUUGACGGUACCUCUGAAGGAAGCACCGGCUAACUCC